This 502-nucleotide ribosomal RNA is filed under the name uncultured bacterium. Its description in RNAcentral is "bacterial SSU rRNA". It matches the Rfam family "Bacterial small subunit ribosomal RNA", at positions 30 to 527 of the family's 1533-position model. The record is from RNAcentral.
AUUGAACGCUGGCGGCAUGCUUUACACAUGCAAGUCGAACGGACUUAGGUGCUUGCACCUAGGUUAGUGGCGAACGGGUGAGUAAUGCAUCGGAACGUACCGUGUAAUGGGGGAUAACGCAGCGAAAGUUGUGCUAAUACCGCAUACGAUCUACGGAUGAAAGCAGGGGAUCGCAAGACCUUGCGUUAUACGAGCGGCCGAUGUCGGAUUAGCUAGUUGGUAGGGUAAAGGCCUACCAAGGCAACGAUCCGUAGCGGGUCUGAGAGGAUGAUCCGCCACACUGGGACUGAGACACGGCCCAGACUCCUACGGGAGGCAGCAGUGGGGAAUAUUGGACAAUGGGGGGCGAACCCUGAUCCAGCCAUGCCGCGUGAGUGAAGAAGGCCCUCGGGUUGUAAAGCUCUUUUGUCCGGAAGAAAGCAAUCGGUUAAUACCCGGUUGUUCUGACGGUACCGGAAGAAUAAGCACCGGCUAACUUCGUGCCAGCAGCCGCGGUAAGGAG